UACGAAGGGGGCUAGCGUUGUUCGGAAUCACUGGGCGUAAAGCGUACGUAGGCGGCUUUUUAAGUCAGGGGUGAAAUCCUGGAGCUCAACUCCAGAACUGCCUUUGAUACUGAGAAGCUUGAGUCCGGGAGAGGUGAGUGGAACUGCGAGUGUAGAGGUGAAAUUCGUAGAUAUUCGCAAGAACACCAGUGGCGAAGGCGGCUCGCUGGCCCGGUACUGACGCUGAGGUGCGAAAGCGUGGGGAGCAAACAGG
This 253-nucleotide ribosomal RNA is filed under the name uncultured bacterium. RNAcentral describes it as "partial 16S ribosomal RNA". It matches the Rfam family "Bacterial small subunit ribosomal RNA", at positions 524 to 776 of the family's 1533-position model. The record is from RNAcentral.